Molecule: transfer RNA, 19 nt
Filed under: Ochotona roylei (Royle's pika)
Lineage: Eukaryota; Metazoa; Chordata; Mammalia; Lagomorpha; Ochotonidae
Description: partial tRNA-Glu
Source: RNAcentral
GUUCUUGUAGUUGAAUUAC